This 253-nucleotide ribosomal RNA is filed under the name uncultured bacterium. RNAcentral's name for it is "partial 16S ribosomal RNA". It matches the Rfam family "Bacterial small subunit ribosomal RNA", at positions 524 to 776 of the family's 1533-position model. The record is from RNAcentral.
UACGGGGGGGGCAAGCGUUGUUCGGAAUUACUGGGCGUAAAGGGCGCGUAGGCGGCCUUCUAAGUCAGACGUGAAAUCCCUCGGCUCAACCGGGGAACUGCGUCUGAGACUGGAAGGCUUGAAUUCGGGAGAGGGAUGUGGAAUUCCAGGUGUAGCGGUGAAAUGCGUAGAUAUCUGGAGGAACACCGGUGGCGAAGGCGGCAUCCUGGACCGAGAUUGACGCUGAUGCGCGAAAGCCAGGGGAGCAAACGGG